UACGUAGGGGGCAAGCGUUGUCCGGAUUUAUUGGGCGUAAAGAGCGUGUAGGCGGCCAUACAGGUCAGCUGUGAAAACUCGAGGCUCAACCUCGAGACGUCGGUUGAAACCGUUUGGCUAGAGUCCGGAAGAGGAGAGUGGAAUUCCCGGUGUAGCGGUGAAAUGCGCAGAUAUCGGGAAGAACACCCGUGGCGAAGGCGGCUCUCUGGACCACAACUGACGCUGAGGCGCGAAAGCUAGGGGAGCAAACAGG
Molecule: ribosomal RNA, 253 nt
Filed under: uncultured bacterium
Lineage: Bacteria
Description: partial 16S ribosomal RNA
Rfam family: Bacterial small subunit ribosomal RNA
Source: RNAcentral